Molecule: unclassified non-coding RNA, 486 nt
Filed under: Hevea brasiliensis (rubber tree)
Lineage: Eukaryota; Viridiplantae; Streptophyta; Magnoliopsida; Malpighiales; Euphorbiaceae
Source: RNAcentral
UCAGUAAAACAUCUGUGGAGAACUAAUCUAACAAGUCAUCGGCAUUGUAAAAUGCUUCCUUCAGCAAUUCAACCCAAUCUUUGACUUGAUGACUUUAUGAAUACUGCUCCUCUGCAUCAAGAAGCACAGCCUGGAUUGAUGAAACUGUCCUCCUGAGUUUGUCAAGCUCAUCUUUGACACCCCAACACAGGCUAGUCUCUCGAAGAACUAGAGAACCCAACUUCUUAAUGAUUUCCACGGCAAUGUCGGAGAGAAUUGCAUCUGCCAUUGGCUUUCAAGCUAGGGAGUGGAAAGUAAGGGUAAGGCACAAAUGGGAAGUGUUUAAGGUUUGAACAGAAGGAUUAUGAAGGUGUGUGUGGAGGAUGAAAAUGCUAGAGUAAUAUUUAUCACAAGGAACUUAGGCUCUUCAAGGAUGCUACUCAUUCAUUUCCUUAAGGACAAGGAACGAAUAAGUGCGUCAACCAUCAUUGCAAGGUAGGAAUAAAG